UUCAUCACUAUCGGAUGUUUAUAAUGUGAUCAUCUUAUAGGAUGACACAAGCCAUGAUUUCUAAAUCACUAGGCUAGAUAAGAAAAUUGGAAGAAUCCAAUAUAAGUUUGAUUGUUGUGAUUUAUCGAAUCACAUUUGUCAGGAGUGCUAACACGUUCUUAGGCGUUAACAAGGAUCUGAAUCCCUUGGGUAGGUUUCACCAUCUUGGCCGCGUAGGCUAGAUUUCACCUUUAAGAUUCUUUUUUUUAAAAAUGCCUACUGGCAGGGAAGGAAGGAUAUUUAUUUUAUUCAGGAUUUUUUUUCAUAAAUCCUAAUUUAUAAGUUAAUAAUAGCACAAAUGGCCUAGUCGCGUAGACAAGUUAAUUUAUAAGCCAUGAUCGUCUGGGAUCGAGGCAUUUAGUAAUAGCACAAAAGGCUUAGUCAUACGGACAAGUUUAAUUUAUAAGCCAUGAUCGUCUGGGAUCAAGGCAUUUAGGUGUGAAUCAAAGUUCAUUACCUUUUCUUGACAGGGAGUCAUAGACCACCACUGCCUUCUGUCUUAUAUGACAAUUAGUAUGGCCCGUAGGCGCUACAUCACUAUUGG
Molecule: long non-coding RNA, 583 nt
Filed under: Helianthus annuus (common sunflower)
Lineage: Eukaryota; Viridiplantae; Streptophyta; Magnoliopsida; Asterales; Asteraceae
Description: sRNA HanXRQr2_Chr11g0514601
Source: RNAcentral